GCAUCUGUAGUGUAGGGGUUAUCAUCCCAGCCUUCCAUUUCCUAAGUGAACGAUAGCUGGGGACUCGAGUUCGAGUCUCGACAGAUGCA
Non-coding RNA from Colletotrichum zoysiae, 89 nucleotides. NCBI's taxonomy places the organism in Eukaryota, Fungi, Ascomycota, Sordariomycetes, Glomerellales, Glomerellaceae. The record is from the annotation of a GenBank genome assembly.